RNAcentral lists this unclassified non-coding RNA (220 nucleotides) under plant metagenome. RNAcentral describes it as "partial contains small subunit ribosomal RNA, internal transcribed spacer 1, and 5.8S ribosomal RNA". The record is from RNAcentral.
UUUCCGUAGGUGAACCUGCGGUAGGAUCAUUCAAAAUAAGUGUUUUAUGGCACUUUUUCAAUCCAUAUCCACCUUGUGUGCAAUGUUGUCUUGUAGUGCGAAUGCUUGUCAUUUGCGCUACAGGAUGUAAACAUCAACUUUUAUCUUUAACAACUUUGUCUAAAACCUGUAUGAAUACUUAAUUCAAAUACAACUUUCAACAACGGAUCUCUUGGCUCUC